RNAcentral lists this ribosomal RNA (485 nucleotides) under uncultured bacterium. RNAcentral describes it as "bacterial SSU rRNA". It matches the Rfam family "Bacterial small subunit ribosomal RNA", at positions 28 to 526 of the family's 1533-position model. The record is from RNAcentral.
GAUGAACGCUAGCGGCAGGCUUAAUACAUGCAAGUCGAGGGGUAGAAUUAACUUCGGUUAAUUUGAGACCGGCGCACGGGUGAGUAACACGUACACUACCUACCUUGUACUGAGGGAUAGCCCCGGGAAACUGGGAUUAAUACCUCAUAGUAUCGUAAGAUUAAAGUUCCGGCGGUACAAGAUGGGUGUGCGUCCCAUUAGCUUGUUGGUGAGGUAACGGCUCACCAAGGCGACGAUGGGUAGCGGGCGUGAGAGCGCGAUCCGCCACACUGGUACUGAGACACGGACCAGACUCCUACGGGAGGCAGCAGUAGGGAAUAUUGGUCAAUGGGCGAAAGCCUGAACCAGCCAUGCCGCGUGAAGGAUGAAGGCCCUCUGGGUCGUAAACUUCUUUUAUAAGGGAAGAAACCUAAUCAUUUAUGAAUAGCUGACGGUACCUUAUGAAUAAGCACCGGCUAACUCCGUGCCAGCCGCCGCCGUAACAC